CCUGGUGGCUCAGAUGGUAGAGUAGUCUGCUUGCAAUGCAGGAGACCCGGGUUCAAUCCCUGGGUCAGGA
Molecule: transfer RNA, 70 nt
Filed under: Ovis aries (sheep)
Lineage: Eukaryota; Metazoa; Chordata; Mammalia; Artiodactyla; Bovidae
Rfam family: tRNA
About the family: Transfer RNA (tRNA) molecules are approximately 80 nucleotides in length. Their secondary structure includes four short double-helical elements and three loops (D, anti-codon, and T loops).
Source: Rfam by way of RNAcentral